This 447-nucleotide ribosomal RNA is filed under the name uncultured bacterium. RNAcentral describes it as "bacterial SSU rRNA". It matches the Rfam family "Bacterial small subunit ribosomal RNA", at positions 330 to 793 of the family's 1533-position model. The record is from RNAcentral.
UCCAGACUCCUACGGGAGGCAGCAGUGGGGAAUAUUGCACAAUGGGGGAAACCCUGAUGCAGCGACGCCGCGUGAGUGAAGAAGUAUUUCGGUAUGUAAAGCUCUAUCAGCAGGGAAGAAGAAGGACGGUACCUGACUAAGAAGCCCCGGCUAACUACGUGCCAGCAGCCGCGGUAAUACGUAGGGGGCAAGCGUUAUCCGGAUUUACUGGGUGUAAAGGGAGCGUAGACGGCGAUGCAAGCCAGAUGUGAAAGCCCGGGGCUCAACCCCGGGACUGCAUUUGGAACUGUGUGGCUGGAGUGUCGGAGAGGCAGGCGGAAUUCCUAGUGUAGCGGUGAAAUGCGUAGAUAUUAGGAGGAACACCAGUGGCGAAGGCGGCCUGCUGGACGAUGACUGACGUUGAGGCUCGAAAGCGUGGGGAGCAAACAGGAUUAGAUACCCCAGUAC